This is a transfer RNA of Toxocara canis (dog roundworm), 72 nucleotides long. It matches the Rfam family "tRNA". From Rfam's summary of the family: Transfer RNA (tRNA) molecules are approximately 80 nucleotides in length. Their secondary structure includes four short double-helical elements and three loops (D, anti-codon, and T loops). Further hydrogen bonds mediate the characteristic L-shaped molecular structure. tRNAs have two regions of fundamental functional importance: the anti-codon, which is responsible for specific mRNA codon recognition, and the 3' end, to which the tRNAs corresponding amino acid is attached (by aminoacyl-tRNA synthetases). tRNAs cope with the degeneracy of the genetic code in two manners: having more than one tRNA (with a specific anti-codon) for a particular amino acid; and 'wobble' base-pairing, i.e. permitting non-standard base-pairing at the 3rd anti-codon position. Lineage: Eukaryota; Metazoa; Nematoda; Chromadorea; Rhabditida; Toxocaridae. The record is from Rfam.
CGGGCAGUAGCUCAGUGGUAGAGCUCCAGCUUCAUAUGCGGAAAGAUCUGGGUUCGAUUCGCGGCUGCUUUG